Long non-coding RNA from Phasianus colchicus (ring-necked pheasant), 1615 nucleotides. RefSeq lists it as uncharacterized. The record is from RefSeq and is a predicted model, not a curated record. NCBI's taxonomy places the organism in Eukaryota, Metazoa, Chordata, Aves, Galliformes, Phasianidae.
GCGAGAACGGCUGACGCGGCGGGGACGUUGCCAGGGCAACGGCUCUGCAUCCACCGCCUCGCCUAGAAAAAGCCUCGGGUAGACGGAGAGGAGGAGUUCGGUGUGUGAGAAUCACCUGGGCUGAUUUAACGAGGAGAAACUAUAAGCCACUCAUACACGGGACUACACGGCGAGGACGGUUGUUAUCACCGUCAAAAAAGAUGAUGGCUGUACCACGAGGCACAAAGGACCCAAGAAAAGAUGAAACAAAGUUCACUCAUCUUUGGGCCCUGCAAACAGUGCAAGGCAAAAAACUCUUACCAUCCCGAAGGCCCUUUUUGAGCACACCACUGAUGAAUCAUCAAAUAUCCUGUGUGGAACCCUGCAGAUAUCAGUAAGGGACUGAACUGAGACUGGCUAGCCUUUAAGUGACCUGGAUCCUUAAGCCUGCAAUUCCUGAAGCUGGAUGAAGACCUGCUACAAAUGUUCUUGCCCUGUAGGCUCCAGUAGUUAAUAAUUAUUUUAUUCCUUAUACAUAAGAACUUACAAACCUCAUAGAUAGAUAGACUAUCUAAACCUCAUAGAUAGAUCUAGACUUCCAUUAAAUAAAAAAUACUGUAGAUUUCUUGGCUGUAAGAGUAAAUUGGGUUAGCAAAUUCAUGGGGCUGAAACUGUUCCUUUCGGUUGUUGUUCUUCAAUAUCAGCCAGUACCAAUUUAUAGAUGUUCUACUUCUCACUAACGCAUCUUUAUUAGGUCCCUUUAGAAUCCCUUGCAAUCUUCUCUCAUCUUGCCAAAUGAAAUAAUUUUCAACCAUCUGCAAAAUUAAUUGACUGACUCACUGUUCACAUUUUUUUUCUCAGUGAUUAUACUCAUACAAAACACAUGGGGUUCUAUCAAACGUUGGUCCUAUCAUGUUCCCUGAGAUAAAAAGACUAUUUUUAUUAAAUUUUUACAAGAUUAACUUAUAUUGAAAUAAAAUUCUAUGAUCUGCAUUUCUCCAGUUCCCUACCUUUUCUUUUUUCUUUCUUUUUUUUAAUAGCUGGAACAGUUGUUGCCCUGCAGGUCUCCGGUGUAGCUGCUGAUUUUAACCAGAGAUUGCAAAUUUUGAUAGCUGUUAAAUCCUUUCUGUCUUCAGCACCUGCAGAGCUUUGGAUAGGUACCAGCUAGUUCUAGUGAGUUGCUGUUCGCCAGUUUGUUCCAGCCUCUUUUCCUGUACUUUUCAUCUUAAGUCUCUAUUCGAGGCCUAUCUUCAUUACUUGAAAUUACUGAUCCCGGAUUGGUGAAUGAAUACUUUUGUUGUGACAUGGUGGGAAGGGAUUAUUCAAAGAAUUCUUUAAGUUUAUUUACAUUUUUGUUGUCUUUUAGUUUGUGGUCAUCUUGGGCUUGGGCAUAACUAAUUCACAUCUGACUUCCUGCUUCUGUAAUACCUAGAAAGUUUCCUUGGGUUUGUUGUAUCCCUUGCAGUUAUUCUCCAAAUUCCUGCUGUACUCUUCUACCUUCUUUUCUGCACACUGUCACUAAUGAUUUUCCCUUUUCCUGUUGACUUCUCUUGGGUCAGAUUUCUUUCUUCUCAAGGAGACUAAGUGCACUUCAGUAGAUUUUAAACUUUUUUUACUUAUCUAGCUAAUUUCUUCA